UCCUUCAUAGCUUAGUGGCAGAGCGCAACGUUGUGGCCGUUGAGAUGCGGGUUCGAUUCCCGCUGAGGGAA
This is a transfer RNA of Enterocytozoon bieneusi H348, 71 nucleotides long. It matches the Rfam family "tRNA". Rfam says of the family: Transfer RNA (tRNA) molecules are approximately 80 nucleotides in length. Their secondary structure includes four short double-helical elements and three loops (D, anti-codon, and T loops). Further hydrogen bonds mediate the characteristic L-shaped molecular structure. tRNAs have two regions of fundamental functional importance: the anti-codon, which is responsible for specific mRNA codon recognition, and the 3' end, to which the tRNAs corresponding amino acid is attached (by aminoacyl-tRNA synthetases). tRNAs cope with the degeneracy of the genetic code in two manners: having more than one tRNA (with a specific anti-codon) for a particular amino acid; and 'wobble' base-pairing, i.e. permitting non-standard base-pairing at the 3rd anti-codon position. The record is from Rfam. NCBI's taxonomy places the organism in Eukaryota, Fungi, Microsporidia, Enterocytozoonidae.